UUCCAAGGCCGUAACAGAUGGAAUGCACCUGGUCUCGUCUGAUUUCAGAAGCUAAACUAACCCUGGGCCUGGCUAGUAUUUGGAUGAGAGACCACCUGGGAAUCCCAGGUGGUAUAGGCAG
This is a ribosomal RNA of Gopherus agassizii (Agassiz's desert tortoise), 121 nucleotides long. NCBI's taxonomy places the organism in Eukaryota, Metazoa, Chordata, Testudines, Testudinidae. The record is from Ensembl.